CGACGGUGAACACGGAGGCUUGCUUCGUGGGAUCAGUGGCGAACGGGAGAGUAACACGUGAGCAACCUGCCCCUGACUCUGGGAUAAGCGCUGGAAACGGCGUCUAAUACUGGAUACGAGACGUGAUCGCAUGGUCAACGUCUGGAAAGAAUUUCGGUUGGGGAUGGGCUCGCGGCCUAUCAGCUUGUUGGUGAGGUAAUGGCUCACCAAGGCGUCGACGGGUAGCCGGCCUGAGAGGGUGACCGGCCACACUGGGACUGAGACACGGCCCAGACUCCUACGGGAGGCAGCAGUGGGGAAUAUUGCACAAUGGGCGCAAGCCUGAUGCAGCAACGCCGCGUGAGGGAUGACGGCCUUCGGGUUGUAAACCUCUUUUAGCAGGGAAGAAGCGAAAGUGACGGUACCUGCAGAAAAAGCGCCGGCUAACUACGUGCCAGCAGCCGCGGUAAUACGUAGGGCGCAAGCGUUAUCCGGAAUUAUUGGGCGUAAAGAGCUCGUAGGCGGUUUGUCGCGUCUGCUGUGAAAUCCCGAGGCUCAACCUCGGGCCUGCAGUGGGUACGGGCAGACUAGA
This 571-nucleotide ribosomal RNA is filed under the name Microbacterium sp. G2W6(B). RNAcentral's name for it is "bacterial SSU rRNA". It matches the Rfam family "Bacterial small subunit ribosomal RNA", at positions 64 to 645 of the family's 1533-position model. Lineage: Bacteria; Bacillati; Actinomycetota; Actinomycetes; Micrococcales; Microbacteriaceae. The record is from RNAcentral.